UAGGCAAGAACAAACCCUGGUUGGAAACAA
RNAcentral lists this non-coding RNA (30 nucleotides) under Mus musculus (house mouse). The record is from RNAcentral. Lineage: Eukaryota; Metazoa; Chordata; Mammalia; Rodentia; Muridae.